This 811-nucleotide ribosomal RNA is filed under the name Triticum aestivum (bread wheat). RNAcentral describes it as "partial small subunit ribosomal RNA". The record is from RNAcentral. Lineage: Eukaryota; Viridiplantae; Streptophyta; Magnoliopsida; Poales; Poaceae.
UUUUUUUCGGGUGGGGCGGAGGACUGGAGGUCGUAGAGGGUCUAGGGCUAGGUGGGUGGGUGUUGAGGGUAACGGCGGCCACAGGGCGAAGGUCCGCAGCAGCGGUCGGAGGAGGAAGAUGCGCAGCGGCGCCCGGAGGGCGAAGGUGCGCAGCAGUGGCCGGAGGAGGAAGGUGCGCAACAACGAUCUGAGGAGGAAGGUGCGCGGUGGCGGUCGGAGGGGGAAGGUGCGCGGCGGCAGCGGAGGGAGAAGGUGGGCGGUAGCGUCCGAGGAGCCGAAGGUGGGCGGGAGCACCGUAUGAACGAAGGUGGUCGGCGGUAGCCUCGGUGGGGCCGUGGAGGUAGCGGCNNNNNNNNNNNNNNUGGGGAGGACGGCCGCUGUGCGGGUGAGGAGGGCUGCUACACAGGGCGGCGGAGUUGCACGUCCGGUAAGUGGAGGCGGUGGGAUCUGGCAAGUGGAGACGGUGGUGACGGACAAGUUGCACCGGAGCUGUUGGGCCGCGUACUUGUGGGAGACAGUUGAGGUUACGCUGAAACAAACAGAGUUGAAGUUUUGUACAAGUUAAGUCUUGAACUGUACCUCCCACAUGACUACUAUGGAUCGGCUUACUUCGAGACUCGAUAUAGGACUCCUUUGUUCUCCCUCACAGUUGUGACUAUGUCCCUCUACGUGUGGUUUGGGCGGCGGGCUCCGGCACAUGGUAGCGUCGCGGGGAAGGGGUCGGUAGCACUCCAGUUGGAGGACCCUAUGUGUUUCAAAGUCAAGCAGCUCUCCGAAGAACCUCCAAGUUUUGUAAAGUGAAGUGGAAAAA